GACCUAUACACUCGAGGAUGGCUCGACAAAUCAAACACUUUGGACCGCACAUGGAAAAAAGUCUGAAAGAUCUUUGAUUUUGUUGAGUUGAAGUGACUUACAAAAUUGGGCCGAAGUCCGGUUACAAAAUUGGGAUGAAGCCCGAUUACAAAUAUCAAAGAUAAAAUAGAAACAAAAAAAAUACAAAGAUAAUAGAGCAGGUACUCCGACUAUUCAUCGGAGUCGACUUCUUGCACUGGGGAGAGUUCGG
RNAcentral lists this long non-coding RNA (250 nucleotides) under Elaeis guineensis (African oil palm). RNAcentral describes it as "long non-coding RNA (EGUI_LNC025486)". Lineage: Eukaryota; Viridiplantae; Streptophyta; Magnoliopsida; Arecales; Arecaceae. The record is from RNAcentral.